This 544-nucleotide ribosomal RNA is filed under the name Wickerhamiella pararugosa. RNAcentral's name for it is "LSU rRNA". It matches the Rfam family "Eukaryotic large subunit ribosomal RNA", at positions 81 to 667 of the family's 3401-position model. The record is from RNAcentral. Lineage: Eukaryota; Fungi; Ascomycota; Dipodascomycetes; Dipodascales; Trichomonascaceae.
UAGUAACGGCGAGUGAACCGGGAAAAGCUCAAAUUUGAAAUCUGCCAACAGGCCGAGUUGUAAUUUGUAGAUGGCUACACUGCAUAAUAGUAGAUGCUCAAGUUCUUUGGAAAAAGACAUCAUGGAGGGUGACAAUCCCGUGAGGCAUGUUACUAGGAGCAUAUAGUGGGCUUUCUAAGAGUCGAGUUGUUUGGGAAUGCAGCUCAAAGUGCGUGGUGAAUACCAUGUAAAGCUAAAUAUGGACGAGAGACCGAUAGCGAACAAGUACUGUGAAGGAAAGAUGAAAAGCACUCCGAAAGGAGAGUGAAAUAGUACGUGAAAUUGUUAAAGUGGAAGGGCUUGAGAUCAGAAUUGGUAGUUUGGGUUCCACGUCCUCUUGGGGGCGUGUACUCCCUUUCCACCGGGCCAGCGGGAGUUUCGUCUCUUGGGUAAAAGCAGUGGAAUGUAGCAGCUUGUCUGUAUUAUAGCCUCUGUUCAUACAAGACGUCGAGACUUGUUUUUGUUGGCGUAAUGAUCUCUAGCCACCCGUCUUGAAACACGGACC